Molecule: ribosomal RNA, 517 nt
Filed under: Clibanarius antillensis
Lineage: Eukaryota; Metazoa; Arthropoda; Malacostraca; Decapoda; Diogenidae
Description: partial 16S ribosomal RNA
Rfam family: Bacterial large subunit ribosomal RNA
Source: RNAcentral
CUCUAUGAAGAUAUAUACAGUUUGACCUGCCCACUGAAUUAUUAAAGGGCCGCGGUAUUCCUGACCGUGCGAAGGUAGCAUAAUCAUUAGUCUUUUAAUUGAAGGCUUGUAUGAAAGGUUGGACGAAAAAUGGACUGUUUCAAAUAAAAAGAUUGAAUUUAACUUUUAAGUGAAAAGGCUUAAAUAAAUUAAAAAGACGAUAAGACCCUAUAAAUCUUUACAUUUGUUAUUAUAGGUUUUGGAUUGUGUGUGUAAAAAAAAAUAUAAUAAAAAUGUUGUGUUGGGGCAACAGUGAUAUAGUAAUAUUAAUUGUUAAAAAUAAAAACAAAUAUAUUUGUUAAAUAAAGAUCCUUUUUAAAGAUUUAAAGAUUAAGUUACUUUAGGGAUAACAGCGUUAUUUUUUCUGAGAGUUCUUAUCGAAGAAAAAGAUUGCGACCUCGAUGUUGAAUUAAAAAUUCUUUUUAAUGCAGCAGUUAAAAAAGAAAGUCUGUUCGACUUUUAAAUUUUUACAUGAUUU